This 525-nucleotide ribosomal RNA is filed under the name uncultured bacterium. RNAcentral describes it as "bacterial SSU rRNA". It matches the Rfam family "Bacterial small subunit ribosomal RNA", at positions 396 to 911 of the family's 1533-position model. The record is from RNAcentral.
GCCGCGUGAGUGAGGAAGGUUUUCGGACCGUAAAGCUCUGUCGAGCGGGAAGAAAUGUAUCAUGGCUAAUAUCCAUGGUACUUGACGGUACCGCUAAAGGAAGCACCGGCUAACUCCGUGCCAGCAGCCGCGGUAAUACGGGGGGUGCAAGCGUUGUUCGGAAUUAUUGGGCGUAAAGAGCGUGUAGGCGGCUGGACAAGUCAGAUGUGAAAGCCCUGGGCUUAACCCAGGAAGUGCAUUUGAAACUGUUCGGCUGGAGUAAGGGAGAGGAAAGUGGAAUUCCUGGUGUAGAGGUGAAAUUCGUAGAUAUCAGGAGGAACACCGGUGGCGAAGGCGACUUUCUGGCCCUAUACUGACGCUGAGACGCGAGAGCGUGGGUAGCAAACAGGAUUAGAUACCCUGGUAGUCCACGCUGUAAACGAUGUUCACUAGGUGUUGGGGGUAUUGACCCUCUCAGUGCCGCAGCUAACGCAUUAAGUGAACCGCCUGGGGAGUACGGUCGCAAGAUUAAAACUCAAAGGAAUU